RNAcentral lists this ribosomal RNA (254 nucleotides) under uncultured bacterium. Its description in RNAcentral is "partial 16S ribosomal RNA". It matches the Rfam family "Bacterial small subunit ribosomal RNA", at positions 524 to 776 of the family's 1533-position model. The record is from RNAcentral.
UACGUAGGGGGCUAGCGUUGUCCGGAAUCAUUGGGCGUAAAGCGCGCGUAGGCGGCCAGAUAAGUCCGGUGUGAAAGUCACAGGCUCAACCUGUGAAUGCCGCUGGAAACUGUCUGGCUUGAGUCCGGAAGGGGCGAGUGGAAUUCCUGGUGUAGCGGUGAAAUGCGCAGAUAUCAGGAGGAACACCAAUGGCGAAGGCAGCUCGCUGGAACGGUACUGACGCUGAGGCGCGAAAAGCGUGGGGAGCGAACAGG